CCUACGGGGGGCACCAGUGGGGAAUAUUGCGCAAUGGGCGGAAGCCUGACGCAGCGACGCCGCGUGGGGGAUGACGGCCUUCAGGCUGUAAACCUCUUUCAGCAGGGACGAAGUUGACGUGUACCUGCAGAAGAAGCGCCGGCUAACUACGUGCCAGCAGCCGCGGUAAUACGUAGGGCGCAAGCGUUGUCCGGAAUCAUUGGGCGUAAAGAGCUCGUAGGUGGCCGGUCGCGUCUGCCGUGAAAGCCCGCAGCUUAACUGCGGGUCUGCGGUGGAUACGGGCCGGCUAGAGGUAGGCAGGGGCAAGUGGAAUUCCUGGUGUUGCGGUGAAAUGCGCAGAUAUCAGGAGGAACACCGGUGGCGAAGGCGACUUGCUGGGCCUUACCUGACGCUGAGGAGCGAAAGCAUGGGGAGCGAACAGGAUUAGAUACCCGUGUAGUC
This 441-nucleotide ribosomal RNA is filed under the name uncultured bacterium. Its description in RNAcentral is "bacterial SSU rRNA". It matches the Rfam family "Bacterial small subunit ribosomal RNA", at positions 338 to 795 of the family's 1533-position model. The record is from RNAcentral.